CCUACGGGAGGCAGCAGUGAGGAAUAUUGGUCAAUGGACGCAAGUCUGAACCAGCCAUGUCGCGUGCAGGACGACGGCCCUAUGGGUUGUAAACUGCUUUUGUAUGGGAAGAAAGUUAGCUACGAGUAGCUAUUUGCCGGUACCAUACGAAUAAGGAUCGGCUAACUCCGUGCCAGCAGCCGCGGUAAU
RNAcentral lists this ribosomal RNA (189 nucleotides) under uncultured bacterium. RNAcentral describes it as "partial 16S ribosomal RNA". It matches the Rfam family "Bacterial small subunit ribosomal RNA", at positions 338 to 524 of the family's 1533-position model. The record is from RNAcentral.